This 253-nucleotide ribosomal RNA is filed under the name uncultured bacterium. RNAcentral describes it as "partial 16S ribosomal RNA". It matches the Rfam family "Bacterial small subunit ribosomal RNA", at positions 524 to 776 of the family's 1533-position model. The record is from RNAcentral.
UACGAAGGGGGCUAGCGUUGUUCGGAAUUACUGGGCGUAAAGCGCAUGUAGGCGGCGAUUCAAGUCGGGGGUGAAAUCCUGAGGCUCAACCUCAGAACUGCCUUCGAUACUGCAUUGCUAGAGUAUGGAAGAGGUAGGUGGAACUGCAAGUGUAGAGGUGAAAUUCGUAGAUAUUUGCAAGAACACCAGUGGCGAAGGCGGCCUACUGGUCCAUCACUGACGCUGAGAUGCGAAAGCGUGGGGAGCAAACAGG